This 331-nucleotide ribosomal RNA is filed under the name uncultured eukaryote. Its description in RNAcentral is "partial 18S ribosomal RNA". It matches the Rfam family "Eukaryotic small subunit ribosomal RNA", at positions 1470 to 1796 of the family's 1831-position model. The record is from RNAcentral.
CCCUUAGAUGUUCGGGGCCGCACGCGCGCUACACUGUUCGACGCAGCGAGUCUUAACCUUGACCGAAAGGUUUGGGUAAUCUUCAGCAAAGUCGAACGUGAUGGGGAUCGAUCAUUGCAAUUAUUGAUCGUGAACGAGGAAUUCCUAGUAAGUGCAAGUCAUCAGCUUGCGCUGAUUACGUCCCUGCCCUUUGUACACACCGCCCGUCGUUACUACCGAUUGAAUGGUUUAGUGAGAUCUCUGGAUUGACGCUGGCUAGGGGGCGACCCUUGGCCAGGCUGUCGAGAAACUGCUCAAACUUGAUCAUUUAGAGGAAGUAAAAGUCGUAACA